GCUGGUGACCAUAGGUGCGGGGAAACACAGGUUCCCAUUCCGAACACCAACGUUAAGCCCGCGACCGCCGAUGGUAGUGCCGCCAAGAUGUGGUGCGAGAGUAGGUUAUUGCCAGGU
RNAcentral lists this ribosomal RNA (117 nucleotides) under Verrucomicrobiota bacterium JB022. Lineage: Bacteria; Pseudomonadati; Verrucomicrobiota. The record is from RNAcentral.